RNAcentral lists this ribosomal RNA (477 nucleotides) under uncultured bacterium. Its description in RNAcentral is "bacterial SSU rRNA". It matches the Rfam family "Bacterial small subunit ribosomal RNA", at positions 28 to 526 of the family's 1533-position model. The record is from RNAcentral.
GAUGAACGCUGGCGGCGUGCCUAAUACAUGCAAGUCGAACUUGAUUUUCGGAUUGAGUGGCGAACGGGUGAGUAAGACAUAGGUAACCUGGCUUAUAGAGGGGGAUAACCACUGGAAACGGUGGAUAAUACCGCAUGAAUAUAUCGAAGGCAUCUUGGAUAUAUAAAAGGAGCUAAGGCUUCGCUAUAAGAUGGGCUUAUGACGCAUUAGCUAGUUGGUGAGGUAAUGGCUCACCAAGGCGACGAUCAGUAGCCGGACUGAGAGGUUGAACGGCCACAUUGGGACUGAGAUACGGCCCAGACUCCUACGGGAGGCAGCAGUGGGGAAUAUUGGGCAAUGGGCGCAAGCCUGACCCAGCAACGCCGCGUGAAGGAAGAAGGCUUUCGGGUUGUAAACUUCUUUGACCAGGGAAGAAACAAAUGACGGUACCUGGAAAACAAGCCACGGCUAACUACGUGCCAGCAGCCGCCGUAAAAC